Molecule: ribosomal RNA, 465 nt
Filed under: uncultured bacterium
Lineage: Bacteria
Description: partial 16S ribosomal RNA
Rfam family: Bacterial small subunit ribosomal RNA
Source: RNAcentral
GACGAACGCUGGCGGCGUGCUUAACACAUGCAAGUCGAACGGAAAGGCCCCUUUGGGGGUACUCGAGUGGCGAACGGGUGCGUAACACGUGAGUAACCUGCCCUUGACUUCGGGAUAACUUCAGGAAACUGGGGCUAAUACCGGAAAGGAAUCCUUGCUGCAUGGUGGGGGUUGGAAAGCUUCGGCGGUUUUGGAUGGACUCGCGGCUUAUCAGCUUGUUGGUGGGGUAGUGGCUUACCAAGGCUUUGACGGGUAGCCGGCCUGAGAGGGCGACCGGCCACAGUGGGACUGAGAUACGGCACAGACUCCUACGGGAGGCAGCAGGGGGGAAUAUUGCACAAGGGGCGGAAGCCGGAUGCAGCAACGCCGCGUGCGGGAUGACGGCCUUCGGGUUGGAAACCGCAUUCAGCAGGGGCGAAGCUUGUGGUGACGGUACCUGCAGAAGAAGCACCGGCUAACUACGUG